AUUAUUCCAAUGGUAUAUGGAACAAUUCCAACAUCACAUUGUCAUGUUGAAUUUGAUUAUAAUUGCAAAUCUGAUGAGCAAUGUAAGCUACUAUGCAUGGGAGAUGUAUAUGUCUAUCCUAUCGAUAAGGCGAUGUGUGUGUUACACAAAAAUGAUACUUCAUUUUGUAAAUAUCUAUAUACAUGCGAUACCAAAAAUUGUUAUAAA
This 207-nucleotide long non-coding RNA is filed under the name Solanum tuberosum (potato). Its description in RNAcentral is "long non-coding RNA (STUB_LNC008686)". Lineage: Eukaryota; Viridiplantae; Streptophyta; Magnoliopsida; Solanales; Solanaceae. The record is from RNAcentral.